GUCUGGUGGGUAGUUUGACUGGGGCGGUCUCCUCCUAAAGAGUAACGGAGGAGCACGAAGGUUGGCUAAUCCUGGUCGGACAUCAGGAGGUUAGUGCAAUGGCAUAAGCCAGCUUGACUGCGAGCGUGACGGCGCGAGCAGGUGCGAAAGCAGGUCAUAGUGAUCCGGUGGUUCUGAAUGGAAGGGCCAUCGCUCAACGGAUAAAAGGUACUCCGGGGAUAACAGGCUGAUACCGCCCAAGAGUUCAUAUCGACGGCGGUGUUUGGCACCUCGAUGUCGGCUCAUCACAUCCUGGGGCUGAAGUAGGUCCCAAGGGUAUGGCUGUUCGCCAUUUAAAGUGGUACGCGAGCUGGGUUUAGAACGUCGUGAGACAGUUCGGUCCCUAUCUGCCGUGGGCGCUGGAGAACUGAGGGGGGCUGCUCCUAGUACGAGAGGACCGGAGUGGACGCAUCACUGGUGUUCGGGUUGUCAUGCCAAUGGCACUGCCCGGUAGCUAAAUGCGGAAGAGAUAAGUGCUGAAAGCAUCUAAGCACGAAACUUGCCCCGAGAUGAGUUCUCCCUGAGACUUAGAGUCUCCUGAAGGAACGUUGAAGACGACGACGUUGAUAG
RNAcentral lists this ribosomal RNA (609 nucleotides) under Salmonella enterica subsp. enterica serovar Stanleyville. Its description in RNAcentral is "partial 23S ribosomal RNA". It matches the Rfam family "Bacterial large subunit ribosomal RNA", at positions 2256 to 2859 of the family's 2925-position model. The record is from RNAcentral. Lineage: Bacteria; Pseudomonadati; Pseudomonadota; Gammaproteobacteria; Enterobacterales; Enterobacteriaceae.